CCUACGGGAGGCAGCAGUGGGGAAUAUUGCACAAUGGGGGAAACCCUGAUGCAGCGACGCCGCGUGAGUGAAGAAGUAUUUCGGUAUGUAAAGCUCUAUCAGCAGGGAAGAAAAUGACGGUAUCUGUCUAAGAAUCUCCGGCUAACUACGUGCCAGCAGCCGCGGUAAUACGCAGGGGGCCAGGGUUAUCCGGAUUUACUGGGUGUAAAGGGAGCGUAGACGGCAGAGCAAGUCAGAAGUGAAAGCCUGCGGCCCAACUGCGGGACUGCAUUGGAAACUGGCCGGCUAGAGUGCUGGAGAGGUAAGCGGAAUUCGUAGUGUAGCGGUGAAAUGCGUAGAUAUUAGGAGGAACACCAGUGGCGAAGGCGGCUUACUGGACAGUAACUGACGUUGAGGCUCGAAAGCGUGGGGAGCAAACAGGAUUAGAUACCCCUGUAGUC
RNAcentral lists this ribosomal RNA (440 nucleotides) under uncultured bacterium. Its description in RNAcentral is "partial 16S ribosomal RNA". It matches the Rfam family "Bacterial small subunit ribosomal RNA", at positions 338 to 795 of the family's 1533-position model. The record is from RNAcentral.